GCCCAUUUUGUUCUCAGGAGCCUAUGCCAC
RNAcentral lists this non-coding RNA (30 nucleotides) under Mus musculus (house mouse). Lineage: Eukaryota; Metazoa; Chordata; Mammalia; Rodentia; Muridae. The record is from RNAcentral.